GAUGAACGCUAGCUAUAGGCUUAACACAUGCAAGUCGAGGGACCGGCGCACGGGUGAGUAACGCGUAUCCAACCUACCCAUAACUAAGGGAUAACCCAGCGAAAGUUGGACUAAUACCUUAUGGUUAUGGAUGGGGAUGCGUCUGAUUAGCUUGUUGGCGGUGUAACGGCCCACCAAGGCAACGAACAGUAGGGGUUCUGAGAGGAAGGUCCCCCACAUUGGCACUGUGACUCGGUCCAAACUGCUACGGGUGUCAGCAGUUAGGAACAUUGGUCAAUUGACGCAAGUCUGAACCAGCCAAGUAGCGUGCAGGAUGACGUCCUAUGGGUUGUAAACUGCUUUUAUAUGGGGAUAGGUACCAUAUGAAUAAUGACCGGCUAAUUCCGUGCCAGCAGCCGCGGUAAUUC
RNAcentral lists this ribosomal RNA (407 nucleotides) under uncultured bacterium. Its description in RNAcentral is "partial 16S ribosomal RNA". It matches the Rfam family "Bacterial small subunit ribosomal RNA", at positions 28 to 526 of the family's 1533-position model. The record is from RNAcentral.